UAAACAUGUAAUCAUCAUUCAAGCCACUAUCUAAUACAGCAUGUUGGGAUGGAAGGAUUUUGUUUCACUCAGGCAUUCCCAGUUCCACCUUCCUUUCAUUUUGUGGAUUAGUCCUCCUGUAGGCCUUGCACAGGUGAAGAUCCUGGCUGUAUCUACUUAAGUCGACAGGCAACGGGGAGCUUUCGAAUAUUUGUGUGCAGAAGGCUGGAGGUCACAGAUGUAUGAUAUACUUAGUAAGUGCUGGGAGAAGAAAGAAAGGAGAUCUAUCAGAAAGGAGCGAACAAGGGAAGGAGGAAACAGAUCUACUCCACUACGCUAGCACGCAGAGGAGGAUGGAGAACGCAUCCAGGGAUUUAUUGCCCAAAAUGAUGCUCAAGACCCCUCACAUCAGCAGAAGAACAAAACGUAGGUGGUACAGACUGGACAUAAUUGUCAAGAGGAAGAAAGAAGAGAAGGAAUAGAAUCAAACCAGAGAGGUAAGUGAUAGUGAAAAACAAGAGACAAAGAGAUUUAGAAAGCAGAAGGUGAGUAGCGCUGAGCUCCAACUAGGAAGCAUCAUCCAUAGUCCAAGAACCUCAGGCUAGAUUAGAGACAGUGCUAUAACCCUAAGUGCCCUAGAGGGCUCCCUAGCUUUCCUUCCCUCCAGGUAAUAGAAUAAAGCUUUUUUUUUUUUCUGUGUAGAGCUCUAGUUUUCGUUAUAUUAUCAACUACUUUAGGGAAACACUUGGAGACAGGCAUCAUGUGGUACUUAUAAUUCAGAUGUUGGAAAGUCCAGCGACGGCCCAACUUAUACUGAAUUUCUCAGAAGAGGAAUAAUUUAUUGUAAGAUUUUUGUUUAAUUUUCAGAGAGGCCUAUAAAUAUGAGAAAUAUUUGAUAAUAGAAUUGUAGAAUUGGAAGGGAAAUUUACUACAACAGCCGUUUAUAUUACAGAUAAAUUGACCGAGGUCCAGAAGUGUCCAGAAGUACCUAUAACUAUUUAGUUAUAGGUACUUCUAAAACUCAAGUCUCCAAACCCCAAUCUCAGUGUUUUUCUUGUAGCAAACAAGUUUCAUCCUCAAAUUUGCAUUCUUGAACACAUGUUUUCGCGUCCGUCAAGUACACAAACAUGAAUUCUUGCUCAACCAUCCAAUUAUCUAAUCUGCUCCCUUUACUCAGGAUAAAGACUUGCUGGCAGAGGCUAUGAGGGUCUGCUCAAUGCUCAUGUCAGUCAUUCUACAGUAGCUUCAGCUGCCUCAAACUUACAAGUGACAGUCUGUAAUACAGCACUGUUCAAACCCACCAGAGAAAUGACGCAUUAAGGAUGCAAACUGGAAUGACAACAUGAAAUUACAGUUAACAUUUAGUGACUAUAUAUGCAUAUUACAAUAACUCAGUAUUUCAAAAGUAGGUGUUUAUCUGAUGUUUCUGUCAUGUUAAUAAACAAU
RNAcentral lists this long non-coding RNA (1425 nucleotides) under Pan troglodytes (chimpanzee). RNAcentral's name for it is "lncRNA (ENSPTRG00000053135.1)". The record is from RNAcentral. Lineage: Eukaryota; Metazoa; Chordata; Mammalia; Primates; Hominidae.